GGGACCCGCACAAGCGGUGGAUGAUGUGGACUAAUUCGAUGCAACGCGAAAACCUUACCUACCCUUGACAUGUCUGGAACCUUGGUGAGAGCCGAGGGUGCCUUCGGGAGCCAGAACACAGGUGCUGCAUGGCUGUCGUCAGCUCGUGUCGUGAGAUGUUGGGUUAAGUCCCGCAACGAGCGCAACCCUUGUCACUAGUUGCCAUCAUUUAGUUGGGCACUCUAGUGAGACUGCCGGUGACAAACCGGAGGAAGGUGGGGAUGACGUCAAGUCCUCAUGGCCCUUAUGGGUAGGGCUUCACACGUCAUACAAUGGUCGGUACAGAGGGUUGCCAAGCCGCGAGGUGGAGCCAAUCCCUUAAAGCCGAUCGUAGUCCGGAUCGUAGUCUGCAACUCGACUACGUGAAGUCGGAAUCGCUAGUAAUCGCGGAUCAGCACGCCGCGGUGAAUACGUUCCCGGGCCUU
Molecule: ribosomal RNA, 464 nt
Filed under: uncultured Thauera sp.
Lineage: Bacteria; Pseudomonadati; Pseudomonadota; Betaproteobacteria; Rhodocyclales; Zoogloeaceae
Description: bacterial SSU rRNA
Rfam family: Bacterial small subunit ribosomal RNA
Source: RNAcentral